GCGCGCGACGAGAUGGCGCAGCGGAUCGCGAUUCGCCAAGUGCGCGAUCUCGUGCGCGAGCACGAUGUCGCGAACCUCUCGACUCCACUGCAGUGCGUCGGUUGGAAGAAAGACAGUGGGUUCGAAGAUUCCCCCCGCCAUCGGCGUGGUCACGCCGGCGGAGGUCACGAGGCGGAUAUCGGUUU
RNAcentral lists this unclassified non-coding RNA (185 nucleotides) under uncultured fungus. RNAcentral's name for it is "sequence contains ITS1". Lineage: Eukaryota; Fungi. The record is from RNAcentral.